CCUACGGGUGGCAGCAGUGAGGAAUAUUGGUCAAUGGACUAGAGCCUGAACCAGCCAAGUAGCGUGAAGGAUGACUGCCCUAUGGGUUGUAAACCUCUUUUAUAUGGGAAUAAAAUGUUCCACGUGUGGCCUUUUUUAUGUUCCAUGUGAAUAAGGAUCGGCUAACCCCGUGCCAGCAGCCGCGGUAAUUCGGGUGAUCCGAGCGUUAUCCGGAUUUUUUGGGGUUAAAGGGAGCGUAGGUGGGUUGUUAAGUUAGGUGUGAAAGUUGGGGGGUCAACCGUAGAAUUGCAGUUGAAACUGGCGGUCUUGAGUACAGUAGAGGUAGGCGGAAUGCGUGGUGUAGCGGUGAAAUGCAUAGAUAUCACGAAGAACUCCGAUUGCGAAGGCAGCUCACUGGACUGCAACUGACGCUGAGGCACGAAAGUGUGGGUAUCGAACAGGAUUAGAUACCCCAGUAGUC
RNAcentral lists this ribosomal RNA (460 nucleotides) under uncultured bacterium. RNAcentral describes it as "partial 16S ribosomal RNA". It matches the Rfam family "Bacterial small subunit ribosomal RNA", at positions 338 to 795 of the family's 1533-position model. The record is from RNAcentral.